This 1415-nucleotide ribosomal RNA is filed under the name Ralstonia solanacearum. Its description in RNAcentral is "bacterial SSU rRNA". It matches the Rfam family "Bacterial small subunit ribosomal RNA". Lineage: Bacteria; Pseudomonadati; Pseudomonadota; Betaproteobacteria; Burkholderiales; Burkholderiaceae. The record is from RNAcentral.
CCUUACACAUGCAAGUCGAACGGCAGCGGGGGUAGCUUGCUACCUCCGGCGAGUGGCGAACGGGUGAGUAAUACAUCGGAACGUGCCCUGUAGUGGGGGAUAACUAUCGAAAGACUAGCUAAUACCGCAUACGACCUGAGGGUGAAAGUGGGGGACCGCAAGGCCUCAUGCUAUAGGAGCGGCCGAUGUCUGAUUAGCUAGUUGGUGGGGUAAAGGCCCACCAAGGCGACGAUCAGUAGCUGGUCUGAGAGGACGAUCAGCCACACUGGGACUGAGACACGGCCCAGACUCCUACGGGAGGCAGCAGUGGGGAAUUUUGGACAAUGGGGGCAACCCUGAUCCAGCAAUGCCGCGUGUGUGAAGAAGGCCUUCGGGUUGUAAAGCACUUUUGUCCGGAAAGAAAUCGCUUCGGUUAAUACCUGGAGUGGAUGACGGUACCGGAAGAAUAAGGACCGGCUAACUACGUGCCAGCAGCCGCGGUAAUACGUAGAGCGUUAAUCGGAAUUACUGGGCGUAAAGCGUGCGCAGGCGGUUGUGCAAGACCGAUGUGAAAUCCCCGGGCUUAACCUGGGAAUUGCAUUGGUGACUGCACAGCUAGAGUGUGUCAGAGGGAGGUAGAAUUCCACGUGUAGCAGUGAAAUGCGUAGAGAUGUGGAGGAAUACCGAUGGCGAAGGCAGCCUCCUGGGAUAACACUGACGCUCAUGCACGAAAGCGUGGGGAGCAAACAGGAUUAGAUACCCUGGUAGUCCACGCCCUAAACGAUGUCAACUAGUUGUUGGGGAUUCAUUUCCUUAGUAACGUAGCUAACGCGUGAAGUUGACCGCCUGGGGAGUACGGUCGCAAGAUUAAAACUCAAAGGAAUUGACGGGGACCCGCACAAGCGGUGGAUGAUGUGGAUUAAUUCGAUGCAACGCGAAAAACCUUACCUACCCUUGACAUGCCACUAACGAAGCAGAGAUGCAUUAGGUGUCGAAAGAGAAAGUGGACACAGGUGCUGCAUGGCUGUCGUCAGCUCGUGUCGUGAGAUGUUGGGUUAAGUCCCGCAACGAGCGCAACCCUUGUCUCUAGUUGCUACGAAAGGGCACUCUAGAGAGACUGCCGGUGACAAACCGGAGGAAGGUGGGGAUGACGUCAAGUCCUCAUGGUCCUUAUGGGUAGGGCUUCACACGUCAUACAAUGGUGCAUACAGAGGGUUGCCAAGCCGCGAGGUGGAGCUAAUCCCAGAAAAUGCAUCGUAGUCCGGAUCGUAGUCUGCAACUCGACUACGUGAAGCUGGAAUCGCUAGUAAUCGCGGAUCAGCAUGCCGCGGUGAAUACGGUCUUGUACACACCGCCCGUCACACCAUGGGAGUGGGUUUUGCCAGAAGUAGUUAGCCUAACCGCAAGGGGGGCGAUUACCACGCAGGGUUCAUGAC